UUCUUUUUUUUUCUUUUUUUUCUUUUUUUUUUUUUUUUCCUCUUGCCAGCUGGCUCCCGCAGCCGAAUUCACUCCCGGCCCGCUUGUUUAUCGUGGAAACGCUGUGACAGCACCUGCAGCCGCGCCGCGCCCAGGACAGCGCGGGGACUCGGGAGCUGGGGGAAUGGAACAAGGCUCACACAUACCCACCAGAAGUCUUACAGCAUGAAGAAAAGAAUGAAGCAAGGAACGAAGCAAAAAUCUCUGAGAGUUACUGUGGUCCAGGAUGCUUCAAUCAUCUCCCCACCAGCCUGAAGGGAUUCAUUCUCUAAGGAGUUCCAAGGAGGUUGGACAAUAUUCUGAAGCAAUAAAAUCCUUUGCACAGCAGGAGAUUUUGAUGUC
This 381-nucleotide long non-coding RNA is filed under the name Struthio camelus australis. RNAcentral describes it as "lncRNA (ENSSCUG00000018159.1)". The record is from RNAcentral. Lineage: Eukaryota; Metazoa; Chordata; Aves; Struthioniformes; Struthionidae.